AGAGUUUGAUCAUGGCUCAGGACGAACGCUGGCGGUGCGCCUUAUGCAUGCAAGUUGAGCGAAGCUUUUUGGUAGUUUACUACUAGAAAUGACUGAGCGGCGAACGGGUGAGUAACGCGUGAGCAAUCUACCUUAGUUACUGGGAUAGCCCGAGGAAACUCGGAUUAAUACCGGAUAUUCUUAUUUUUUCACAUGAAGUUUUAAGGAAAGGUCAGCCGAACUAAGAUGAGCUCGCGUUCUAUCAGCUAGUUGGUGGGGUAAAAGCCUACCAAGGCUACGACGGAUAGCUGGUCUGAGAGGACGAUCAGCCACACUGGGACUGAGACACGGCCCAGACUCCUACGGGAGGCUGCAGCAGGGAAUAUUGUGCAAUGAGCGAAAGCUUGACACAGCGACACCGCGUGUGGGAUGACGGUUCUAGGAUUGUAAACCACUUUCAGGAGGGAAGAAAA
RNAcentral lists this ribosomal RNA (452 nucleotides) under uncultured Actinomycetes bacterium. RNAcentral describes it as "bacterial SSU rRNA". It matches the Rfam family "Bacterial small subunit ribosomal RNA", at positions 8 to 451 of the family's 1533-position model. Lineage: Bacteria; Bacillati; Actinomycetota; Actinomycetes. The record is from RNAcentral.